UACGGGGGGGGCAAGCGUUGUUCGGAAUUAUUGGGCGUAAAGGGUUCGUAGGUGGCUUGUUAAGUCUGACGUGAAAUCCCUCAGCUUAACUGGGGAACUGCGUCUGAGACUGGUGGGCUUGAGGGCAGGAGAGGAACGCGGAAUUCCAGGUGUAGCGGUGAAAUGCGUAGAUAUCUGGAGGAACACCGGUGGCGAAGGCGGCGUUCUGGACUGCAACUGACACUGAGGAACGAAAGCCAGGGGAGCAAACGGG
Molecule: ribosomal RNA, 253 nt
Filed under: uncultured bacterium
Lineage: Bacteria
Description: partial 16S ribosomal RNA
Rfam family: Bacterial small subunit ribosomal RNA
Source: RNAcentral